UACGUAGGGCGCGAGCGUUGUCCGGAAUUAUUGGGGCGUAAAGAGCUCGUAGGCGGCCUGUUGCGUCCGCUGUGAAAUCCCGGGGCUCAACCUGGGCGUGCAGUGGAUACGGGCAGGCUGGAGGCAGGCAGGGGAGAACGGAAUUCUUGGUGUAGCGGUGAAAUGCGUAGAUAUCAAGAGGAACACCCGUGGCGAAGGCAGCUUCCUGGGGCCAUCCUGACACUGAGACGCGAAAGCGUGGGGAGCAAACAGG
Molecule: ribosomal RNA, 253 nt
Filed under: uncultured bacterium
Lineage: Bacteria
Description: partial 16S ribosomal RNA
Rfam family: Bacterial small subunit ribosomal RNA
Source: RNAcentral